Molecule: transfer RNA, 72 nt
Filed under: Camelus bactrianus (Bactrian camel)
Lineage: Eukaryota; Metazoa; Chordata; Mammalia; Artiodactyla; Camelidae
Also listed under: 2 other names
Rfam family: tRNA
About the family: Transfer RNA (tRNA) molecules are approximately 80 nucleotides in length. Their secondary structure includes four short double-helical elements and three loops (D, anti-codon, and T loops).
Source: Rfam by way of RNAcentral
GAGGGUACAGCUCAGUGGUAGAGCUCAUGCUUAGCAUGCACGAGGUCCUGGGUUCAAUCCCUAGUACCUCCA